CCACCUGAUCCCCAUUCCAUCCUGAUGGCAGCUGCUUCCUCCCCCUCCCGGAGAGAGCGUCCACCAGCUGCCACCUCUGAUGCAGAAACCGCUGGGAGAAUCUGCCUGCAUCCUGGAGAAGUUUCUCCAAGCUCAAAGAGGCCAGGAAGGUAACCGGUUCCUGUGUCCUACAGUGUCCCACACAGGUGCUGCACGGCCUGCUUCUACACUUAAAGACUGCCCCAGUCUCUGCAGCUGCAGCUAAAUGAGCUCCAGCCAGGAGGUUCCCACGCAGAUGUCUUAGCCGCCAAAUGGACCAGAGGAGCCCCACCUGGAGAGGAGGUGGAGUGAGAGAAGGAGCACCUGGCCGGCGCCAGCACCCAGGAGAGACCCUGCCCCUCCCUCCACUGCAGCUGCAUGCAUCAAGUGUUGUCAGGUCUCCGGAGCUGCAGGACACCCCCACCCUGCCUCCUGUGGUAGCUCAUUCGCUCUGUUCCCUCCACUGCCCACACAAGCGAUGACACCUGGACAACGCUCUUCUGUGAAUGAAGCAAAUAUUGUGAACGAUGCUGUUCACCACAGUUGGGGAGAGCUGUUUCCUGAGACCCAGAAGGAGCUCUAUCAGCCUCUCAGGAAUAGCCAUGACUCUGCUACAACUCUCAGAUGCUCAUUUCCCUUUUAGCUUUGGCAGCUGGGGAGCUCAGAGCCAAGUAUACAUUUGAUCACCCAGCCCUACCUCUUUCCCAGUGCCCACAGAGUAAGACUGAUGUGGAAGUUCUUCCUACACAAAUGCAGACGACUUGCAUUUGAGAAAAUAAACACUCUUAGGGAUAUCUUAUAUUACUAUGCUUGUUUACACCUACCCCUAGUUUCUUUCCUCUCUCCCCCCAAAUAAAACUACAUACACACCACUUAAAAUUUACUCCUCAGGAAUAAAUGUUCUGUGUGAACAUUUUGUUGCACACCCUUCCAGAUGGGCAUAAAAUGAAAGGACAGUUUUAUAAAAAUGCGAUCGUGUAAUGGACUCAACUAUACAGUGUGGAUGGCUUUUCACGCCAAUGAGUAUAAAUCCACAUGCCUCUGCAGUACUCUAUUACAUGGAUUAGCAUAAUUUAUUUAGCCAGAUUCCUCUUUCUACACAUUUAAGGUCUUUUUCAUUUUUGGUAAUUACAAAGCAAGCAGCUGUGGAAUUUCUGGUCCAAUCAUUCUUCCAACUUAUGUGAUACUCUUCUUACCAAAAAACAAAUUCUUGGGAAUGGACUCUUACCUUUAUUUUUAAUUUGGUAAUACACCACUUUGCAUUUUGCAAGUGAUUGGUAAAUAUUUGAGCUAACAAAAGUCACUUAUUAAAUAAAAUAUAUGAUGGCACAGCAAAAAGAAAUGAAGUCAGCGACUUGAUGCACCGUGAGUGAAUCUGAAAGGCAAACACGCUGAGAGGAAGAAGCCAGCCACCAAAUGCCACAGAGUGCAUGCUUCAGUUUACACAACACAUCCAAGAUAUGCAGACUAUAGGAUGAGAAAGAAGAUCGGGGGCCCCAGGGCUGCAGCAGGAUGGAAGAAGGAAGGCGGGUAGCUUAAAGGCUUCAGGUUUUUGUGGGGAGAGGUGAAAAUGUUUGAAAAUUGAUGGGAUGGUGGUUGCACAGCUCUGUGAAUAUUAUUCCUUUAUUUGACUGACUUGCACACUCUGAGUGGGGGGAAUUGUAUGGUAUGCAAAGUAAACUUCAA
Cavia porcellus (domestic guinea pig) is the source of this 1704-nucleotide long non-coding RNA. RefSeq lists it as uncharacterized. The transcript is spliced from 3 exons. NCBI's taxonomy places the organism in Eukaryota, Metazoa, Chordata, Mammalia, Rodentia, Caviidae. The record is from RefSeq and is a predicted model, not a curated record.